CAUGCAGUCGAACGAAGUAGCAAUACUUAGUGGCAGACGGGUGAGUAACAUGUGGGUAUCUACCCUAUGGCCUGGAAUAACACGAGGAAACUUGUGCUAAUACUGGAUAAGUCUUUACGGAGAAAGCUUUAUGCACCAUUGGAUGAGCCCGCACUUGAUUAGUUUGUUGGUAGGGUAACGGCCUACCAAGACUUUGAUCAAUAGCUGAUUUGAGAGGAUGAUCAGCCACAUUGGGACUGAGACACGGCCCAAACUCCUACGGGAGGCAGCAGUGGGGAAUCUUGCACAAUGGAGGAAACUCUGAUGCAGCGAUGCCGCGUGAGUGAAGAAGGCCCUUGGGUUGUAAAGCUCUUUCGUCGGGGAAGAAAAUGACUGUACCCGAAUAAGAAGGUCCGGCUAACUUCGUGCCAGCAGCCGCGGUAAUACGAAGGGACCUAGCGUAGUUCGGAAUUACUGGGCUUAAAGAGUUCGUAGGUGGUUGAAAAAGUUGGUGGUGAAAUCCCAGAGCUUAACUCUGGAACUGCCAUCAAAACCUUUCAGCUAGAGUUUGAUAGAGGAAAGCAGAAUUUCUAGUGUAGAGGUGAAAUUCGUAGAUAUUAGAAAGAAUACCAAUUGCGAAGGCAGCUUUCUGGAUCAUUACUGACACUGAGGAACGAAAGCAUGGGUAGCGAAGAGGAUUAGAUACCCUCGUAGUCCAUGCCGUAAACGAUGUGUGUUAGACGUUGGAAAUUUAUUUUCAGUGUCGCAGCGAAAGCGAUAAACACACCGCCUGGGGAGUACGACCGCAAGGUUAAAACUCAAAUGAAUUGACGGGGACCCGCACAAGUAGUGGAGCAUGUGGUUUAAUUCGAANAUACGCGCAGAACCNUACCAACACUUGACAUGUUCGUCGCGACUUUNAGA
Molecule: ribosomal RNA, 903 nt
Filed under: uncultured bacterium
Lineage: Bacteria
Description: bacterial SSU rRNA
Rfam family: Bacterial small subunit ribosomal RNA
Source: RNAcentral